This 253-nucleotide ribosomal RNA is filed under the name uncultured bacterium. RNAcentral's name for it is "partial 16S ribosomal RNA". It matches the Rfam family "Bacterial small subunit ribosomal RNA", at positions 524 to 776 of the family's 1533-position model. The record is from RNAcentral.
UACGGGGGGGGCAAGCGUUGUUCGGAAUUACUGGGCGUAAAGGGCUCGUAGGCGGCCAACUAAGUCAGACGUGAAAUCCCUCGGCUUAACCGGGGAACUGCGUCUGAUACUGGAUGGCUUGAAUCCGGGAGAGGGAUGCGGAAUUCCAGGUGUAGCGGUGAAAUGCGUAGAUAUCUGGAGGAACAUCGGUGGCGAAGGCGGCAUCCUGGACCGAUAUUGACGCUGAGGCGCGAAAGCCAGGGGAGCAAACGGG